GCAUAUCAAUAAGCGGAGGAAAAGAAACCAACAGGGAUUGCCCUAGUAACGGCGAGUGAAGCGGCAACAGCUCAAAUUUGAAAUCUGGCUCUCUUUGGGGGUCCGAGUUGUAAUUUGCAGAGGAUGCUUUGGCAUUGGCGGCGUUCUAAGUUCCUUGGAACAGGACAUCACAGAGGGUGAGAAUCCCGUACGUGGUCGCCUGCCUUUGCCGUGUAAAGCUCCUUCGACGAGUCGAGUUGUUUGGGAAUGCAGCUCUAAAUGGGAGGUAAAUUUCUUCUAAAGCUAAAUACCGGCCAGAGACCGAUAGCGCACAAGUAGAGUGAUCGAAAGAUGAAAAGUACUUUGGAAAGAGAGUCAAAAAGCACGUGAAAUUGUUGAAAGGGAAGCGCUUGCAGCCAGACUUGCCCGCAGUUGCUCACCUAGGCUUUGGCCUGGGGCACUCUUCUGCGGGCAGGCCAGCAUCAGUUUGGGCGGUUGGAUAAAGGCCUCUGUCACGUAUCUCCCUCCGGGGUGACCUUAUAGGGGAGGCGUAAUGCAACCAGCCCGGACUGAGGUCCGCGCAUCUGCUAGGAUGCUGGCGUAAUGGCUGUAAGCGGCCCGUCUUGAAACACGGACCAAGGAGUCUAACAUCUAUGCGAGUGUUUGGGUGUCAAGCCCGGGCGCGCAAUGAAAGUGAACGGAGGUGGGAACCCUUUGGGUGCACCAUCGACCGAUCCUGAUGUCUUCGGAUGGAUUUGAGUAAGAGCAUAGCUGUUGGGACCCGAAAGAUGGUGAACUAUGCUUGAAUAGGGUGAAGCCAGAGGAAACUCUGGUGGAGGCUCGCAGCGGUUCUGACGUGCAAAUCGAUCGUCAAAUUUGGGCAUAGGGGCGAAAGACUAAUCGAACCAUCUAGUAGCUGGU
RNAcentral lists this ribosomal RNA (900 nucleotides) under Didymosphaeria variabile. Its description in RNAcentral is "eukaryotic LSU rRNA". It matches the Rfam family "Eukaryotic large subunit ribosomal RNA", at positions 38 to 955 of the family's 3401-position model. Lineage: Eukaryota; Fungi; Ascomycota; Dothideomycetes; Pleosporales; Didymosphaeriaceae. The record is from RNAcentral.